CAUUUGUCUUUUAAAUGAAGACUUGUAUGAACGGCAAAACCUCCUCCAACUGUCUCCCCUCCCAUCCUUCCAAAUUUCCUCCUGUGUGAAGAAGCACAGAUACACCAGAAAGACGAGAAGACCCUGUCGAGCUUUAGCCACUAAGUGGGCCUUACCCNUUCAGGCACCACCCAAAGGUUUUGGUUGGGGCAACCACGGAGAAAAAACAUCCUCCAGAACGAAUAGAAGAAAGCUUUUCACUAUUAUUGCGAUUAAGAACCAGGAACUGGUAUUCGGAAAGAGUUACCGCAGGGAUAACAGCGUCAUCUCCUCUAAGAGUCCUUAUUGACGAGGAGGUUUGCGACCUCGAUGUUGGAUUGGGGCCCCCUUAGGGUGCAGAAGCUCUAAACGGUUAGACUGUUCGUCUAUUAAAGCCCUACAUGAUCUGAGUUCNAAACCGGAGAU
This 444-nucleotide ribosomal RNA is filed under the name Holothuria mammata. Its description in RNAcentral is "partial 16S ribosomal RNA". It matches the Rfam family "Bacterial large subunit ribosomal RNA", at positions 1966 to 2625 of the family's 2925-position model. Lineage: Eukaryota; Metazoa; Echinodermata; Holothuroidea; Aspidochirotida; Holothuriidae. The record is from RNAcentral.